RNAcentral lists this ribosomal RNA (505 nucleotides) under uncultured manure pit bacterium P311. RNAcentral's name for it is "bacterial SSU rRNA". It matches the Rfam family "Bacterial small subunit ribosomal RNA", at positions 7 to 500 of the family's 1533-position model. The record is from RNAcentral.
GAGAGUUUGAUUCUGGCUCAGGAUGAACGCUAGCUAUAGGCUUAACACAUGCAAGUCGAGGGGUAACAGGGUUAAAGCUUGCUUUAAUCGCUGACGACCGGCGGAUGGGUGAGUAACACGUAUCCAACCUACCGCAUACACGGGGAUAGCUUUUCGAAAGAAAGAUUAAUACCCGAUGGUAUGAGAUCAACACCUGUUGGUUUCAUUAAAGAUUUAUCGGUAUGCGAUGGGGAUGCGUUCCAUUAGAUAGUUGGUAGGGUAACGGCCUACCAAGUCAGCGAUGGAUAGGGGUUCUGAGAGGAAGGUCCCCCACAUUGGAACUGAGACACGGUCCAAACUCCUACGGGAGGCAGCAGUGAGGAAUCUUGGUCAAUGGGCGCAAUGCCUGAACCAGCCAAUUAGCGUGAAGGAAGACUGCCCUUUGGGUUGUAACUUCUUUUAUAAGGGAAUAACGAUGGCAACGUGCUUGUCAUUUGCAUGUACCUUAUGAAUAAGGAUCGGCUUA